RNAcentral lists this ribosomal RNA (253 nucleotides) under uncultured prokaryote. RNAcentral's name for it is "partial 16S ribosomal RNA". It matches the Rfam family "Bacterial small subunit ribosomal RNA", at positions 524 to 776 of the family's 1533-position model. The record is from RNAcentral.
UACGUAGGGUGCGAGCGUUAAUCGGAAUUACUGGGCGUAAAGCGUGCGCAGGCGGUUCGCCGUGUCCGAUGUGAAAGCCCCGGGCUUAACCUGGGAAUGGCAUUGGAAACUGGCGGGCUGGAGUAUGGCAGAGGGGGGUGGAAUUCCACGUGUAGCAGUGAAAUGCGUAGAGAUGCGGCGGAACACCGAUGGCGAAGGCAGCCCCCUGGGCUGAGAUUGACGCUCAGGCACGAAAGCGUGGGGAGCAAACGGG